This 153-nucleotide ribosomal RNA is filed under the name Trieres chinensis. RNAcentral describes it as "5.8S ribosomal RNA". It matches the Rfam family "5.8S ribosomal RNA". From Rfam's summary of the family: 5.8S ribosomal RNA (5.8S rRNA) is a component of the large subunit of the eukaryotic ribosome. It is transcribed by RNA polymerase I as part of the 45S precursor that also contains 18S and 28S rRNA. Functionally, it is thought that 5.8S rRNA may be involved in ribosome translocation. The record is from RNAcentral. Lineage: Eukaryota; Bacillariophyta; Thalassiosirophyceae; Eupodiscales; Parodontellaceae.
AACUUUCAGCAACGGAUGUCUUGGCUCCCACCAUGAUGAAGAACGCAGCGAAAUGCGAUACGUAAUGCGAAUUGCAGGUCCUCGUGAAUCAUCAAACCUUUGAACGCACAUUGCGCUUCCGGGAUAUGCCCGGUAGCAUACCUAGCUGAGUGA